RNAcentral lists this ribosomal RNA (253 nucleotides) under uncultured bacterium. RNAcentral's name for it is "partial 16S ribosomal RNA". It matches the Rfam family "Bacterial small subunit ribosomal RNA", at positions 524 to 776 of the family's 1533-position model. The record is from RNAcentral.
UACGAAGGGGGCUAGCGUUGCUCGGAAUCACUGGGCGUAAAGCGCACGUAGGCGGAUUGCUAAGUCAGGGGUGAAAUCCUGGAGCUCAACUCCAGAACUGCCCUUGAUACUGGCGGUCUCGAGUCCGGGAGAGGUGAGUGGAACUGCGAGUGUAGAGGUGAAAUUCGUAGAUAUUCGCAAGAACACCGGUGGCGAAGGCGCCGCUCUGGGCCGAAACUGACGCUGAGGAGCGAAAGCAUGGGUAGCAAACAGG